Molecule: ribosomal RNA, 200 nt
Filed under: uncultured bacterium
Lineage: Bacteria
Description: partial 16S ribosomal RNA
Rfam family: Bacterial small subunit ribosomal RNA
Source: RNAcentral
AGGCUGCAGCUCGCCUAUAUGAAGUUGGGAAUUGCUAGUAAUCGCGGAUCAGCAUGCCGCGGUGAAUACGUUCCCGGGCCUUGUACACACCGCCCGUCACACCAUGAGAGCCGGUAAUACCCGAAGUCAGUAUCCUAACCGCAAGGGGGGAGCUGCCGAAGGUAGGAUUGGCGAUUGGGGUGAAGUCGUAACAAGGUAUC